GGCUUUGUAGUGAAGUUCAUGUUGAGUUGCAAGCUCAUCGAUGUGUGUUGAAGACACACCAAAGUCU
This 67-nucleotide transfer RNA is filed under the name Ceryle rudis. RNAcentral's name for it is "tRNA-Cys". Lineage: Eukaryota; Metazoa; Chordata; Aves; Coraciiformes; Cerylidae. The record is from RNAcentral.